CCUACGGGGAGCAGCAGUGGGGAAUAUUGGGCAAUGGGCGCAAGCCUGACCCAGCAACGCCGCGUGAAGGAAUAAGGCUUUCGGGUUUUAAACUUCUUUUUUCAGGGACGAAGCAAGUGACGGUACCUGAGUAAUAAGCCACGGCUAACUACGUGCCAGCAGCCGCGGUAAUACGUAGGUGGCAAGCGUUAUCCGGAUUUACUGGGUGUAAAGGGCGUGUAGGCGGGAUUGCAAGUCAGAUGUGAAAACCACGGGCUCAACCUGUGGAUUGCAUUUGAAACUGGAGUUCUUGAGUACUGGAGAGGCAGACGGAAUUCGUAGUGUAGCGGUGAAAUGCGUAGAUAUUAGGAAGAACACCAGUGGCGAAGGCGGUCUGCUGGACAGCAACUGACGCUGAGGCGCGAAAGCGUGGGGAGCAAACAGGAUUAGAUACCCGUGUAGUC
Molecule: ribosomal RNA, 443 nt
Filed under: uncultured bacterium
Lineage: Bacteria
Description: partial 16S ribosomal RNA
Rfam family: Bacterial small subunit ribosomal RNA
Source: RNAcentral